This 253-nucleotide ribosomal RNA is filed under the name uncultured bacterium. RNAcentral's name for it is "partial 16S ribosomal RNA". It matches the Rfam family "Bacterial small subunit ribosomal RNA", at positions 524 to 776 of the family's 1533-position model. The record is from RNAcentral.
UACAGAGGUCCCAAGCGUUGUUCGGAUUCAUUGGGCGUAAAGGGUGCGUAGGCGGCGCGGUAAGUCGGGUGUGAAAUCUCGGAGCUUAACUCCGAAACUGCAUUCGAUACUGCCGUGCUUGAGGACUGGAGAGGAGACUGGAAUUUACGGUGUAGCGGUGAAAUGCGUAGAUAUCGUAAGGAAGACCAGUGGCGAAGGCGGGUCUCUGGGCAACAACUGACGCUGAGGAGCGAAAGCGUGGGGAGCGAACAGG